This 328-nucleotide ribosomal RNA is filed under the name uncultured Ruminococcus sp. RNAcentral's name for it is "partial 16S ribosomal RNA". Lineage: Bacteria; Bacillati; Bacillota; Clostridia; Eubacteriales; Oscillospiraceae. The record is from RNAcentral.
GGAGUCUGGGCCGUGUCUCAGUCCCAAUGUGGCCGUUCAACCUCUCAGUCCGGCUACCGAUCGUCGCCUUGGUGGGCCGUUACCCCGCCAACAAGCUAAUCGGACGCGAGUCCAUCUCUAAGCGAUAAAUCUUUGAUAUCAAAGUCAUGCGGCUUCAAUAUAUUAUGCGGUAUUAGCGAUCUUUUCAGAACGUUAUUCCCCUCUUAGAGGCAGGUUACUCACGCGUUACUCACCCGUCCGCCACUAAACUUUCAUCGGCUUUGUACGAAUCUCCGCCAAAUCAGUCCCGUUCGACUUGCAUGUGUUAGGCACGCCGCCAGCGUUCAUC